GGGAGAGGCUAGGAGGAGGAGGAUAAGCUGUAAUAAAAGCAUACAAAUGAAUAAUUGAAUUAAGUUUUCUAUACCUCAGGGGAAACUAUUAGGAAGGUUUUCCCACUGAGAUUGCUGCAUGUUUAGUGGCUGUAACAUUACCUUCCCUUUCCUCACCCGCUGAAGCAAACAACGAUAUUCAGACCCAGGCUUUUUCACAUUGUGUCCUUCCCAGUAUCGCUGAUGCUGUAGAGCUCCCUGGCACAUAGAGUACAAAAAGCCUGAGUUCCUCUGUCUGUAGCUGACUGGCAGGCACAGGGAACCUGUAGGGCUUGUACUUUCCUGAUGCGCAAUUAGAGCCAGUGGGCUGGAAACAGAUGGUUAUGCUAUGGUAAAAUUACUGGCGUAAGAUGUAAACAGUUCCAUCCAAGCUAUAUUUUGUUUCUGUGCGCAGAGGCAAAAAGGAAAAACUGGGAUAGAGCCCAAACUGGGUUGGUUUGCAGCAUUCUCAAGGAUUUUCUCCAGCGCAAUUGCACCUAGGCAGUGGCUCUGUGCAGGUUUUGGGGAGGAAGGGAAGUGGGGUAUUUACUCAGAGAUGAAAGCCUUCAUCUAUUCUGCAGAUAUUCAAAGGAAGGCUCGUGCUUUCAGGGGGAAGCUGUUGAUCCUCAAGAGAAGGACAGCAUUGCCAAGCAGGAUAUGGUGUUGCAUUGGGAGUUACAAAUGUUGCUGUCUCAGACUCAGAACAGAGCCUGAAGGAAAGUUAAAAAUUCAGUAAUUCCAAGAAACGAGGGGGAUGUUGCACUGUCACAGCAAGCCCUGCAGAUCCAUGCAGGUCUCCAGCCCACCAGUCCCUUCUUACCUUCAGCCACCAGAACUCAGGCUUACACACUGCAAUUUAUAUUGAUUUUU
RNAcentral lists this long non-coding RNA (888 nucleotides) under Anas platyrhynchos platyrhynchos (common mallard). Its description in RNAcentral is "lncRNA (ENSAPLG00000021287.1)". The record is from RNAcentral. Lineage: Eukaryota; Metazoa; Chordata; Aves; Anseriformes; Anatidae.